CCCUUAGAUGGUCUGGGCGGCACGCGCGCUACAAUGAUGCAUUCAAAAAGUCUUCUGACCUUAGAAGGUUGGGUAUUCUCCAAAGUGCAUCGUGAUGGGAAUAGUUUAUUGCAAUUUUUAAUCUUGAACGAGGAAUUCCUAGUAAGUACAGGUCAUCAACUUGUGUUGAUUACGUCCCUGCCCUUUGUACACACCGCCCGUCGCUCCUACCGAUUGGGUGUGCUGGUGAAAUGUUCGGAUCGGCCGUUUGUCGCGGUUUCCGCGUCAUGUGGCUGAGAAGUUCAUUAAACCCUCCCACCUAGAGGAAGGAGAAGUCGUAACA
This 322-nucleotide ribosomal RNA is filed under the name uncultured eukaryote. Its description in RNAcentral is "partial 18S ribosomal RNA". It matches the Rfam family "Eukaryotic small subunit ribosomal RNA", at positions 1470 to 1796 of the family's 1831-position model. The record is from RNAcentral.